GGUGGUGCAUGGUUGUCGUCAGCUCGUGUCGUGAGAUGUUGGGUUAAGUCCCGCAACGAGCGCAACCCUUAAGCUUAGUUGCCAGCAUUCAGUUGGGCACUCUAAGGUGACUGCCGGUGACAAACCGGAGGAAGGUGGGGAUGACGUCAAAUCAUCAUGCCCCUUAUGACCUGGGCUACGCACGUGCUACAAUGGACGGUACAAACGGUUGCCAACCCGCGAGGGGGAGCUAAUCCGAUAAAACCGUUCUCAGUUCGGAUUGUAGGCUGCAACUCGCCUACAUGGAGCCGAAAUCGCUAGUAAUCGUGGAUCAGCAUGCCACGGUGAAUACGUUCCCGGGUCUUGUACACAC
Molecule: ribosomal RNA, 352 nt
Filed under: uncultured bacterium
Lineage: Bacteria
Description: bacterial SSU rRNA
Rfam family: Bacterial small subunit ribosomal RNA
Source: RNAcentral